RNAcentral lists this ribosomal RNA (282 nucleotides) under uncultured Bacteroides sp. RNAcentral describes it as "partial 16S ribosomal RNA". It matches the Rfam family "Bacterial small subunit ribosomal RNA", at positions 62 to 339 of the family's 1533-position model. The record is from RNAcentral. Lineage: Bacteria; Pseudomonadati; Bacteroidota; Bacteroidia; Bacteroidales; Bacteroidaceae.
UCGAGGGGCAGCGAGGGAGUGGCAACACUUCUGUCGGCGACCGGCGCACGGGUGAGUAACACGUAUCCAACCUGCCGAUAACUCGGGGAUAGCCUUUCGAAAGAAAGAUUAAUAUCCGAUAGCAUAUUGAGAUCGCAUGAUUUUGAUAUUAAAGAAUUUCGGUUAUCGAUGGGGAUGCGUUCCAUUAGUUUGUUGGCGGGGUAACGGCCCACCAAGCCUUCGAUGGAUAGGGGUUCUGAGAGGAAGGUCCCCACAUUGGAACUGAGACACGGUCCAAACUCC